Molecule: ribosomal RNA, 322 nt
Filed under: Cryptodiscus pallidus
Lineage: Eukaryota; Fungi; Ascomycota; Lecanoromycetes; Ostropales; Stictidaceae
Description: eukaryotic LSU rRNA
Rfam family: Eukaryotic large subunit ribosomal RNA
Source: RNAcentral
AUCGACCUCGGAUCAGGCAGGAUUACCCGCUGAACUUAAGCAUAUCAAUAAGCGGAGGAAAAGAAACCAACCGGGAUUGCCCCAGUAACGGCGAGUGAAGCGGCAACAGCUCAAAUUUGAAAUCUGGCCUCGGCCCGAAUUGUAAUUGGCAGAGGAUGCAUCGGGGGCGGCCCCGUUCCAAGUCUGCUGGAACGCGGCGUCCUAGAGGGUGAAAGUCCCGUAGCGAGCGGUGUCCGCUCCCAUGUGAUGCUCCUUCGACGAGUCGAGUUGUUUGGGAAUGCAGCUCUAAAUGGGUGGUAUAUUUCAUCUAAAGCUAAAUACU